This 17-nucleotide microRNA is filed under the name Drosophila simulans. RNAcentral's name for it is "dsi-miR-982b-5p". Its record names the gene dsi-miR-982b-5p. The record is from miRBase by way of RNAcentral. Lineage: Eukaryota; Metazoa; Arthropoda; Insecta; Diptera; Drosophilidae.
AAUAUCAUGUAAAUUGA